UGCAAAAACCCUCAGCUCACCCGAGGGCCAAUGGAAAUUUAUUAAUUUUUUUUUGUCCUUUUCCAUCUUUCCCCAAGUGGCUUUUCCUUGCAAAAUGCCUGACAUGACACCAGAGGGGAACCUGGGAGUGGGGGCCACCCCAAGGGGCAGCCCAGGGACUUAAAUACAAGCUGGAGGGCAGGGCACAGGAGGUGCUAGCAGAGUGAGGGUUAAGGCUGGUGCCCAGCCUCUGGCACGGUGGGCCUUCUGCCUCCGCCUGACAUGGGGACAAAGGGGCACGGUGGGCAGGCAGCGCAUGGGUCUGUCUCUGGCAGGGCAGAGGGCGACAGGAGCAGACUCCCUCCAGGCUCAAGACACAGGCCCAGCGCUGCUACCCGCCCACCCGCCCUAGAUAUACUCAGACCCCACCGCAGCUGGACGGCUAGAGCUGGGAGUGUGGGAGGGGAGGGGAGG
Molecule: non-coding RNA, 453 nt
Filed under: Pongo abelii (Sumatran orangutan)
Lineage: Eukaryota; Metazoa; Chordata; Mammalia; Primates; Hominidae
Source: RNAcentral